GACGAACGCUGGCGGCGUGCCUAAUACAUGCAAGUCGAACGAGAGCGACCGGUGCUUGCACUGGUCAAUCUAGUGGCGAACGGGUGAGUAACACGUGGGUAACCUGCCCAUCAGAGGGGGAUAACAUCCGGAAACGGGUGCUAAAACCGCAUAGGUCUUCGAACCGCAUGGUUUGAAGAGGAAAAGAGGCGCAAGCUUCUGCUGAUGGAUGGACCCGCGGUGCAUUAGCUAGUUGGUGAGGUAACGGCUCACCAAGGCCGUGAUGCAUAGCCGACCUGAGAGGGUGAUCGGCCACAUUGGGACUGAGACACGGCCCAAACUCCUACGGGAGGCAGCAGUAGGGAAUCUUCCGCAAUGGACGCAAGUCUGACGGAGCAACGCCGCGUGAGUGAAGAAGGUUUUCGGAUCGUAAAAACUCUGUUGUUAGAGAAAGAAACAAAGUGCUAG
RNAcentral lists this ribosomal RNA (447 nucleotides) under Granulicatella adiacens. RNAcentral describes it as "bacterial SSU rRNA". It matches the Rfam family "Bacterial small subunit ribosomal RNA", at positions 28 to 462 of the family's 1533-position model. The record is from RNAcentral. Lineage: Bacteria; Bacillati; Bacillota; Bacilli; Lactobacillales; Carnobacteriaceae.